AGGACGUCGGGAAUGUUUUUAAACAAUAUUGACACCGUGUGCCUGCCACACUAACACAUAUUGUGCGGAACGAAAAGUAGAAGAAUUAGGACCAGACCAGAGGUGGAUAUGUGGCUUUGUGAGCUGCCUUCUGUUGGGAACGACCACAUCUUGCUGGGCCCCUGAAACUGAGGGGCCACGACCAACAAACAGAGUGGGAUGGACCUGCGAGCAGAGAGCCCUGACAAAGACUCUGAAGAUGAUGCCUUCAAGUGUGGACCUGAGGGAGGAGAGGAGGGCGAGGGCUGGGGGAGCGAUAGUCAACCUGAGGCCUGCACCCCUACUCCUCCAUCCACUGGCAAGAGGAAGAAGAAAAGGAA
Salvelinus namaycush (lake trout) is the source of this 359-nucleotide long non-coding RNA. RefSeq lists it as uncharacterized. The transcript has 3 exons. NCBI's taxonomy places the organism in Eukaryota, Metazoa, Chordata, Actinopteri, Salmoniformes, Salmonidae. The record is from RefSeq and is a predicted model, not a curated record.